Molecule: transfer RNA, 77 nt
Filed under: Mycobacterium kansasii
Lineage: Bacteria; Bacillati; Actinomycetota; Actinomycetes; Mycobacteriales; Mycobacteriaceae
Description: tRNA-Asn
Source: RNAcentral
UCCCCUGUAGCUCAAUCUGGCAGAGCAUUCGGCUGUUAACCGAAGGGUUAAGGGCUUUGAAUCCGCCAGCGGCGCGA